Rattus norvegicus (Norway rat) is the source of this 1980-nucleotide long non-coding RNA. RefSeq lists it as uncharacterized. Lineage: Eukaryota; Metazoa; Chordata; Mammalia; Rodentia; Muridae. The record is from RefSeq and is a predicted model, not a curated record.
UAAUGUGCAGUUAACAAGUAGCUUUAUUCUCUGAUAGCACAAGUGUGACUCCUCUCACGUCUUAUGAUGGCUCAUUCAAACGGAUCCAUUCAGGUGUUUUAAAGAGUGCGUGGGUCGUGUCUGCAAGAGGCAUGCUUAGAGAAUUAAUUGGAGAGUCGAGAGAGGCUCCUUUUUGUUUCCAUGGUAUCCUCCCAAGGGUGAGAGACCUAUAGCCACCGUGCCAAUCACUCUGUAGGGAGAUCAUAAUGCGUCAGCAGGCUCGCUCGUCAUUUAUCCCACAGGGACAAACACGGCUCAAAUCCCAGACAUGAAUCCAAAGAAGAUUUAAUACCCCCUGUACAUAUUUUCCACCCAGUGGUAGAGGUAAGCCUUUUCCCGCGGGUCCCAAGCACACGCGCUCAAUGCUGCUGGAGGAACCCUCAGCGAUUCUUGCCCUUCGCUCGGACAAACACCCCCACGGACGGCGAGAAACAGUACUGACCAACCGUCGGCUGACUCAGGGACUGUUUCUAAUUGAAACACAACCUCGCUGCGUGAGCAACGCAGAACCAAGACCAAAACACAGGUUUCUGACCCCUAAACGCACAAGCCUCCGGGAACCACUGGCUUGUAUCCAAUCAGAGGUCCCCUGGCACCACUUGCCCGCCCCCUGGCCCUGUCCGGCCACUUCAUUCGCGGCUCACAAAGCAAUCCCGCCGCGCUUUCUUCACAACACCCAAUCAGAGAAUAGGAGGCGGGGACUCCCUGACGCGGCGAGAGCAGCGGUACUCAGACAGGCGAGCCUCGGGAUCUUUCGGGUUCUUUCGCUUUCCCUCCAGGGUAAAGUUAUGUUCAGUCUUCCAUCAACACGUUUAUUUUUCCUUCCGACGCGGCGCGCGUGCGCAGUGCCUCCCAGCCCAGGCUGUUCCUGAAAUGUAAGCCUGUUGAGACUCAGGGAGGGAAGCUGAUCGUCCAUCCUACAGGUCAGUCAACAAUUUGACUCAGCAGUUUACCUUCGGGGCGUUAUUCUACUGCAGAUCCAUUUGUGCCACGAGGCUGGACAUCCAUCUGUGUCACGGGGCUGCUUCAAGGAAGCUCUUGACCUUUUAACUAUAUAUUGUUCAUUAUAAUACAGUGAGAAUUGGCCCCAAAAUGAUGGCUAUUGUGGAAGUGCUCUCCAAGAGUUUAAGAAAUAACCUGUGUGCAAGGCACAGAAGUUCUUUUGCUCAGAAAUAAGCACUAAGGAAACCGGGAACGUUAAAUACACAGGAAUGUCUCUUCAGUGAGAGAGAUGUGUAACUGUCUUCUGCCCAGAGGGCUGGGAGUGGAUGUGGUUGGUAGCCUGUGACCUGAGACUGAUAGGCUGAGACCUCACCAGUUCCUCCCCAGAUCCUUUUCUGAGCAUGGUUUUUCUCAGUCUGUAGAAACUAUCUUGGUGGAAGAUGUCACAUAUACAAACUCUUUACAAAGAGUUUCAGUGCAGUCAUGCCUUAAGCUUUGCUGGGCACAGGCAAUUGGUUAAUUAUCACCAGGAAAGUUUUCACCAAAUAAACUACUUGGGGUCAGACUCACCAAGUUUGGACCAACUUUGGCUACUUAACUGUGUUGAACUGAACAACCUUCUUGGCUCCUCCAGAACGUUACUCUGCUGACCUUAGUGACCUCAGACACUUCCCCAACCCCAAACUUGUACCGAGACAAGACAAACCAGUCAACUCUGCUUCUUACUUCUUAGGCGUCAGAUGCCAUUCACAAGCAAACGGAGGAGCUACACACUAGUGCAAUCUAUUUGCUGUAUGACAUUGUAUUAGUCAGGGUUCUAUAGGGUAGCAACUUAUAGAAUGAAUAUAUAUAUAACAUUAAUAGACUAUUAUAUAUAAUAUAAAUAUUUCUGUAUAUAAGUAAUUGUAUAAAUAUAUAUUAAUAUAGAAUAUAUAAUAAAGACCCAAGGUCUGGGCUCGAAGUGAAUCUUCCUACUUAAGAUUGUGCAAAAGUCCCUCA